UACAGAGGUCUCAACCGUUGUUCGGAUUCAUUGGGCGUAAAGGGUGCGUAGGCGGUCGCGCAAGUCGGAUGUGAAAUCUCAGGGCUCAACCCUGAAACUGCAUUCGAUACUGCGUGGCUAGAGUGCUGGAGGGGAGACUGGAAUUUACGGUGUAGCAGUGAAAUGUGUAGAUAUCGUAAGGAAGACCAGUGGCGAAGGCGGGUCUCUGGACAGUUCCUGACACUGAGGCACGAAGGCCAGGGGAGCAAACGGG
Molecule: ribosomal RNA, 253 nt
Filed under: uncultured bacterium
Lineage: Bacteria
Description: partial 16S ribosomal RNA
Rfam family: Bacterial small subunit ribosomal RNA
Source: RNAcentral